Biomphalaria glabrata is the source of this 510-nucleotide long non-coding RNA. RefSeq lists it as uncharacterized. The transcript has 3 exons. The record is from RefSeq and is a predicted model, not a curated record. Lineage: Eukaryota; Metazoa; Mollusca; Gastropoda; Planorbidae.
UGUUCAAAACAACAAAUUAAAUUAACACUAUUUAAUUGAAAAAAAAAUUGCAUCAAAGUUUGUUUCUGAAGUAAUUUGAAUGCAAGAUUGUUUAUAUUUCAUACAAUAGAAUGAAAAUCUAAUAAUUCGGUCCUAAAAUGUGGAGAUUGAAAGCCUUAAUUAAAAUAAAAUGGCAUGGUCAAAUUGAUAAUGGGAAUUUUGCUAAAGAAAAAGCUUAUGUGUAUGAUAAAAAUAUCUGUAAACUAUGUGUUCAAAACAACAUAUAAAAUUAAUAGUACUUAAUGAAAAUAAAAAUUUUGCCUCAAAAUUACACUAUUUAUUACAUAAGUUACUUAAUUACAUUUGUGUUUUUUUAAACAGGUGCAACUCCUACUAGUGUCACUUCAGUGCCAAGAGAAGAGACCAUUCUUUCUUCACAGACGUUGAGUGCAACUCCUACUAGUGUCUACUCAGCUCCAAGAAAGACAUUUGGGGCCACUCCUACAAGUGUCUCGUCAGUGCCAAGAGAAG